This 482-nucleotide ribosomal RNA is filed under the name uncultured bacterium. Its description in RNAcentral is "partial 16S ribosomal RNA". It matches the Rfam family "Bacterial small subunit ribosomal RNA", at positions 30 to 507 of the family's 1533-position model. The record is from RNAcentral.
AUUGAACGCUGGCGGCAUGCCUUACACAUGCAAGUCGAACGGUAACGGGCCUUCGGGUGCCGACGAGUGGCGAACGGGUGAGUAAUACAUCGGAACGUGCCCGAUCGUGGGGGAUAACGAGGCGAAAGCUUUGCUAAUACCGCAUACGAUCUACGGAUGAAAGCAGGGGACCGCAAGGCCUUGCGCGGACGGAGCGGCCGAUGGCAGAUUAGGUAGUUGGUGGGAUAAAAGCUUACCAAGCCGACGAUCUGUAGCUGGUCUGAGAGGAUGAUCAGCCACACUGGGAGUGAGACACGGCCCAGAAUCCUACGGGAGGCAGCAGUGGGGAAUUUUGGACAAUGGGCGCAAGCCUGAUCCAGCCAUGCCGCGUGCAGGAUGAAGGCCUUCGGGUUGUAAACUGCUUUUGUACGGAACGAAAAGCCUUCUUUUAAUACAGGAGGGUCAUGACGGUACCGUAAGAAUAAGCACCGGCUAACUACGUG